GGAGGGUGCGAGCGUUAAUCGGAAUUACUGGGCGUAAAGCGCGCGCAGGCGGCUGGGUCAGUCGGAUGUGAAAGCCCCGGGCUUAACCUGGGAAUUGCAUUCGAUACUGCCCGGCUAGAGUAUGGGAGAGGGAAGUGGAAUUUCCGGUGUAGCGGUGAAAUGCGUAGAUAUCGGAAGGAACACCAGUGGCGAAGGCGGCUUCCUGGCCCAAUACUGACGCUCAGGUGCGAAAGCGUGGGGAGCGAACAGGGAUUAGAUACCCUGGUAGUCCACGCUGUAAACGAUGAGAACCCAGAUGUUGGGAGGGUUAGCCUCUCAGUGUCGCAGCUAACGCGUUAAGUUCUCCGCCUGGGGAGUACGACCGCAAGGUUG
Molecule: ribosomal RNA, 372 nt
Filed under: uncultured organism
Description: partial 16S ribosomal RNA
Rfam family: Bacterial small subunit ribosomal RNA
Source: RNAcentral